Molecule: unclassified non-coding RNA, 221 nt
Filed under: soil metagenome
Description: partial contains small subunit ribosomal RNA, internal transcribed spacer 1, and 5.8S ribosomal RNA
Source: RNAcentral
UAUCCGUAGGUGAACCUGCGGAUGGAUCAUUACCAAAGGAUUCGUCCAUGUCUUGUGAACCGUAUUGAGCACAGUCGGAGUGAGUAUGGGUUUUGGGGUGGUGCGCAUACUGCACACUACCUCUGCCUCGACUCCCUCCGGCCGACCCUAAACCUAAACUUCAACUUAUGCCUAGUUAUUCAAACUAAAAACAACUUUUAGCAAUGGAUCUCUUGGCUCUC